CCCGGAUUAGCUCAGCUGGAUAGAGCGCCGCCUUCCGGUGGAUGUCGCGGGUUCAAGUCCCGUAUCCGGUU
RNAcentral lists this transfer RNA (71 nucleotides) under Sphingomonas xinjiangensis. RNAcentral's name for it is "Sphingomonas sp. 10-1-84 tRNA". It matches the Rfam family "tRNA". Rfam says of the family: Transfer RNA (tRNA) molecules are approximately 80 nucleotides in length. Their secondary structure includes four short double-helical elements and three loops (D, anti-codon, and T loops). Further hydrogen bonds mediate the characteristic L-shaped molecular structure. tRNAs have two regions of fundamental functional importance: the anti-codon, which is responsible for specific mRNA codon recognition, and the 3' end, to which the tRNAs corresponding amino acid is attached (by aminoacyl-tRNA synthetases). tRNAs cope with the degeneracy of the genetic code in two manners: having more than one tRNA (with a specific anti-codon) for a particular amino acid; and 'wobble' base-pairing, i.e. permitting non-standard base-pairing at the 3rd anti-codon position. The record is from Rfam by way of RNAcentral. Lineage: Bacteria; Pseudomonadati; Pseudomonadota; Alphaproteobacteria; Sphingomonadales; Sphingomonadaceae.